CGCACGGCAGAUCCCCUGCGGAGAGCAGCUGGAAAACCACCCAGAGGAGGAAGCACCCGGAUGCGCAGAAUGUGCAUUUGUGGAGACAUUUACAGCCAGCGGCCAGGCCUGACCCAGACUGCAAGGAACAACCUGCAUGGGCUACAUGGGCUGUGGGGUCAACAUGGUUAUCACUCUUCCUACCCAUAUACCAGGAUGCUGCUCACCCAGUUACUCAAACAGGCUGAAAAGUCACCUCUGGGCUCCAAUUAGUUGCCUUUCAAAAACCUUCUCACAGAAGAUAGAUGCAUUCCUUGACCUCUGCAGACCCUCAGCAGCGCUGCAAUGCUUGCCAUCAUCUCCCAUUCCUGAUUAUUGAAGUGCCUGCUGAUCGCCCAGGAACAUCUGCACAGCCCCCAGUCCUACAUGGCUUUGGCUGAGAGAUGGAAAGCAACAUGGGUGUGAGAGAGGAAGUGACACUGGUUCCUCAACCCACUCCUCGCUUCUUCUUAGUGUUAUAGGAGUCCUUCCAAUUUUAAAGACAACCAAAGCUGGGUUUCUCAAAGCAUCUUUCCACUUCAUGUGGAAUAAUGGCAAGCAGGCUGUUCUAGUUGCAGUUGGUUGGUGAAAUUUGCCAGGAAAAAAAGGAUUUAAUCAGAAAAUGUGAAUGCCUUGGCUCAGAAAUGAUUUGUAGAAGCAGACUGAAUGCAGUCUCUUGAAAAGCUCCAAGUGUUUUUUAAGUCCUGGGAACUCCAGCUCCAGAGCUGCACAUUAUAACAUUUUGCAACUAUUGAGGGAAAAUUGGUGGCAUCUGUUACCUUUACUGUUACUAUUCAGAAGAGGGAAAGUGAUAAAGUUACAGGAAAUUAUAUCAAUUUCACAGAGUUGUUGUUGAGAUGACAGGCGGUGCACAGAUUUUCCAAGGGAAUAUCAUGUGUCUGUGAAAGAUAUCCUUAUUGUAGGAAAUUGCAAAGAAUAAAAUUAUCCACAACCUGGAAAAUUUUCCACUUUCCACAAGUGUUUACUGCAAAGAAGUUUUCAGUAUUUCUUCUGGUCCAGAAAAAAAAAGAAAACACAAUAUGUAAUCCUUAAGCUGUUACUCAUUCCUUGAAUAAUAGAUUCUAUUUUUCACAAAGGCUCUAAGCAAUGCCCUCCUGGCAUCUGUAGGAACAUGCCACAUCAACAGUUGUGGAAGUAGAAGUGAAGAAGUCUUCAGGUCACUCUCACAGUGUAUACUUUUUGAGUUUCAGAACAUGCAGCAGGGCAAUGUUAGCAGCCCUGUAGGCUGGCUGUAGCUCUGAGGAGAGGGCCACACAGGGUCAGCCUCCUGAUAUAGCUACAUGUAAAUAGCUGGGUUUGGGGAUUUAUAAUGAGAUCUCAGGAGACGGGUUCUGCUGUUGCUAAUUGUUGUUACUCAACUGAAUGGGAAGAUGGGUUUAGACAUCUGCAGCAGGGAAACUGCAGAGCUCUGUGGAGCCUUCCAUGAAAUUAAAUGGUGUUGUAUGUAAUACUCUGUGCUCAAAUGAACUCGAGUGCUGGUGAUCAGGAGUGAAGGCCCAGGCUCCAGCAAAAGCGGAGCACGAGGUUCAGACUGUGCCGAGAGUGCCCGUGCUGCAUUUCCCAGUAUUGCAACUGCAGCUGCAUGCUGGGCACAGGGUUUGCUUGAGCACCACCACAUCAGCAGGCUUACCUGCUCCUUGACAGGAGGAAAGGUCCCACAUGGCAACCGCUGCCAGCUGUGGCAUGUUCCCUGCUUGGAGGUAUAUUUUCAAGCAGCAGGGCAGCACUUGCUGUUCCCCCACCACUGCAUCCAUAAAGAACAAUGAGGAUUAUAGUCAAGCCCAGCAAGCUGGGAGACUGUAUGGGGCUGCUGAAUCUCAGCCUGAACUUCUGAUCACCUGAGGUGAGCAAU
Molecule: non-coding RNA, 1891 nt
Organism: Meleagris gallopavo (turkey)
Lineage: Eukaryota; Metazoa; Chordata; Aves; Galliformes; Phasianidae
Source: RefSeq, a predicted model, not a curated record